RNAcentral lists this non-coding RNA (21 nucleotides) under Caenorhabditis elegans. Lineage: Eukaryota; Metazoa; Nematoda; Chromadorea; Rhabditida; Rhabditidae. The record is from RNAcentral.
UUAGAUCAUUUGGGAUAUUGA